This 253-nucleotide ribosomal RNA is filed under the name uncultured Elioraea sp. RNAcentral describes it as "partial 16S ribosomal RNA". It matches the Rfam family "Bacterial small subunit ribosomal RNA", at positions 524 to 776 of the family's 1533-position model. Lineage: Bacteria; Pseudomonadati; Pseudomonadota; Alphaproteobacteria; Acetobacterales; Elioraeaceae. The record is from RNAcentral.
UACGAAGGGGGCUAGCGUUGUUCGGAAUUACUGGGCGUAAAGGGCGUGUAGGCGGUCCGCUAAGUCAGGUGUGAAAGGCCUGGGCUCAACCCAGGAAAUGCGCCUGAGACUGACGGACUUGAAUCCGGGAGAGGAUGGUGGAACUCCCAGUGUAGAGGUGAAAUUCGUAGAUAUUGGGAAGAACACCCGUGGCGAAGGCGGCCAUCUGGACCGGUAUUGACGCUAAGGCGCGACAGCGUGGGGAGCAAACAGG